RNAcentral lists this ribosomal RNA (468 nucleotides) under uncultured bacterium. RNAcentral's name for it is "partial 16S ribosomal RNA". It matches the Rfam family "Bacterial small subunit ribosomal RNA", at positions 28 to 507 of the family's 1533-position model. The record is from RNAcentral.
GACGAACGCUGGCGGCGUGCUUAACACAUGCAAGUCGAACGGAAAGGCCCUGCUUUUGUGGGGUGCUCGAGUGGCGAACGGGUGUGUAACACGUGAGUAACCUGCCCUUGUCUUUGGGAUAACUUCAGGAAACUGGGGCUAAUACCGGAUAGGAUCUCUUGCUGCAUGUUGGGGGUUGGAAAGUUUCGGCGGUUGGGGAUGGACUCGCGGCUUAUCAGCUUGUUGGUGGGGUAGUGGCUUACCAAGGCUUUGACGGAUAGCCGGCCUGAGAGGGUGACCGGCGACAAGGCGACUGAGAUACGGAGCAGAAUGCAACGGGCGGCAGCAGGCGAGAGUAUGACAGAGCAAGCGGAAGUCUGUUACAACAGCGCUGCGAGCGGGAUGACGGCUUACGAGUUGUAAACCAAUGUGGAAUGAGACGAGGAGUGAGUGACGGUAAUGGAUAAAAAAGCACCGGCUAACUACGUG